RNAcentral lists this long non-coding RNA (1377 nucleotides) under Homo sapiens (human). Its description in RNAcentral is "non-protein coding lnc-CDH8-5:1". Lineage: Eukaryota; Metazoa; Chordata; Mammalia; Primates; Hominidae. The record is from RNAcentral.
GCAACAACCUUGUUACUGUAUUGCACAGCUCAAUGCAGCAGUGCAGUGGCCAUGUUUAAUACCUCCAUGGAGAAACUGCAGUGACAACUGUGCAAGGGAGAUUAUGCUAUAUUCAAAUGUACACAAAUGUUUGAGAAAGACUUUAGCCACAUUAGCAAAGGGGUUAUGACUCAUGUGCACAGCCAAGUUGAAAAUGUGACUGUGGGCAUUUUCUCCCAUUGUGUAUAGCCCCAGCCUUGCACUACCUAAUGUCACAUUGCUAAGUGGACUAGCUGCAAACUGUGAAGAAUAUGCCAAACAUGGCUAUGACAUCCAGGCUAGAGACAACAAGCUUAGUAACACCUUAGAGGUAACUGGUUGUUUUCAUUGGAAUUGGUAAAAAUAUUUGCCAAUGAUAUUGAAAAGCAGUAACUCUUCCAGAAGCUUGCCACUUGGCUGCCAUUUCACUUUUUGGUUGUGUGUAGAAGAUCUUUUUGUUCAUUGGAAAAGCCACAUUUACCUCUUUUUACCUCUAGAGUAUUCUAGCAGCACCCAAUGCAUCCCAGCUGCAGCCACAAUGGGCAUGCCUGUCUUGAUAGAGAGGGAGGUCAAUGCCAGGUCAGCAUCAGGAGGCUUUACAGGGUCCCUGAGGUGUUUAGAACUGCCUCUUCUGAUAAAAACAAAACAAAAGUGAUAAAAAAAAAAAAAAAGAAGAAGAGUGAAGCCACAAGAUGUUCCAAUGUAAUGCUGAAGCCCAGAGAAAAUAAAAGAAAGGAAAAAGACAAAACUCCUGAUAAAAGCCAUUCUCAUCACCAUGGGACUGGGAAGGACAAGUAGACCCUAACUAUGUCCUUCUUCUGGCCCUCAGCUUGCUAUGGAGCCCUAGGGGUGAGGAAAAGGAGAAAGGCCUACGCAGCCCAAUGAGCAGAGGACACAGCUCUUUCCCCUGUGGAGACACCAGCCUCAGUUCUACUACAAAGGAAUUUAAAAUGGGAAAGGAACCUACCUCCAACUAGUGUAGGGUCUUCAAGCAAGACCCCUAGCAGGAUUAGCUAUUUCCUGAUGAACUUCAAAGCCCACCCAACAGCACAGACAGUACUCCUAGGUUCUGCAAGUAAGACAACCAGAAAGAUUGACCUUUUCCUGAAAAAACUUAAAGCCUUCUCUGCUAAAUAAACUGAAGUCUCAGGUCCUAAAAUAGAGACAUGGAAAGAUUGGAUCUUUAUUAAAAUGCCUCAAAAUCGGUUGCAACGUAUGUGGUACGGAGAACACCAUAUUUAAAGCUAUGAGGAAGAGCAACAUGGAAACCAUCAGGCAGCCAGCACAGUGUGGUGGAGGGGCUGGCAUUCACUGGUACCAUGAUAUCUGAGACCAAGGAGACAGUGACCUCUGAAUCCC